AGAGUUUGAUCCUGGCUCAGAACGAACGCUGGCGGCGUGGAUAAGACAUGCAAGUCGAACGGAACAGGUAGCAAUAUCUGUUUAGUGGCGGACGGGUGCGUAACACGUGAGUCAUCUGCCCGGAAGAGGGGGAUAGCCCAGGGAAACUUGGUUUAAUACCCCGUGUGCUCGUAAGAGUAAAGGUGCUGCAAGGUGCCGCUUCCGGAUGAGCUCGCGGCCUAUCAGCUAGUUGGCGGGGUAAAAGCCCACCAAGGCGACGACGGGUAGCUGGUCUGAGAGGAUGACCAGCCACACUGGAACUGAGACACGGUCCAGACACCUACGGGUGGCAGCAGUCGAGAAUCAUUCACAAUGGGCGAAAGCCUGAUGGUGUGACGCCGCGUGGAGGAUGAAGGUCUUCGGAUUGUAAACUCCUGUCAUGUGGGGGUAAGGCUUGGCGUUUAACUGGCGUCAAGAUUGAUAGUACCACAAGAGGAAGGGGCGGCUAACUCUGUGCCAGCAGCCGCGGUAAUACAGAGGCCCCAAGCGUUGUUCGGAAUCACUGGGCGUAAAGGGUGCGUAGGCGGCGGUGUAAGUCAGAUGUGAAAUCCCGGGGCUCAACCUCGGAACUGCAUCCGAUACUGCAUUGCUUGAGUACUGGAGGGGAGUCUGGAAUUCACGGUGGAGCAGUGAAAUGCGUGGAUAUCGUGAGGAACACUAGUGGCGAA
Molecule: ribosomal RNA, 707 nt
Filed under: uncultured bacterium
Lineage: Bacteria
Description: bacterial SSU rRNA
Rfam family: Bacterial small subunit ribosomal RNA
Source: RNAcentral